RNA transcript from Melospiza melodia melodia, 10133 nucleotides. It is a transcript of the gene named TAFA chemokine like family member 2, with no coding region annotated. Lineage: Eukaryota; Metazoa; Chordata; Aves; Passeriformes; Passerellidae. The record is from RefSeq and is a predicted model, not a curated record. The transcript has 7 exons.
GGCCCAAGCCCCAGCGUGCGGGGGCGGCGAGCGCUGCUCGGUCAGACAGAGCGACGGCCGCUGGGACCGGCUCCCUCGCAAGGGCUGGGGAGGAGAGCCCCGCGUGGCCGGAUAAAUACGGGGGAGGAGAAGGGCGUCUCUCCCUCUCCCCACCUCCCUCCACCUCCUCCCUCCCCCCCGCCGCGGAGGGCGCGCUUGGAGCUGCCUCUGUGUGUCCGGGCGCCCGGGGCGGCUCCGCGCCCUUCCGCCGUGCCGUGCCGUGCCGUGCCGUGCCGUGCGGUGCGGGCUGGGCGCGGGAGGCUGCUGCUGCUGCUGAAGGUGAAGCUCUCGCUCUCCAAUUACUUUUCCCAAGAGAGAGAAGGAGGCAGCAGGAGGGGGAAGUCGUGCUGUGUGUGGAAGGCACACCAAUCAGAGAUGCUCUAACGGAGGGACUGCUGCAGGACGCGCCGGCUUCUCCUCCUUCCUCUGCCGGCGGGGCUGAAUCGGGACCACGCGCAGCUGGCGUAGGGGCCGGAGCCGUACUGGGCUGCAGGACUUACCCAUCUCCGCUUUUCCAUUAGCUCAACCAUACUUCGUGCUCUCUAUUUUUUCCUUUUUUAAUACUCUGAAAUCGUGCGCAAGAAGCACUCCAAGUCUUUUCUCCAUUCCCAGUUACUUCACCGUUCCUCUAGCGUCUCUUAGCCGGAUUCCUGGUGUAUUCGCAGAGAGCCGGGGUGAGCGAGCCGGGCCCCGCGGACGGCUGCUGCCCCAGCCGGGCCGAGCCGAGGGGAGCCGAGCGGAGCGGGGCACGGCGCCGCUCCAUGCCCCGAGCGCUGGCGGGGCGCGGGGCGUGUGCCGGCGAUGCCCGGGCGGUAAGGCUGGAGCUCCCCCCGGACGGGAGGCGGCCGAUCGCUAGGCAUUUCUAGCAAGAAUCGGGACUGCAGAUGAAGAACUAUGCUGAAUGACUUCCUAAUCCUCUGGGAACAGCUCCGUGGAAACAAAAGAUGAAUAAGAGAUACUUACAGAAAGCAACAAAAGGAAAACUGCUAAUAAUAAUAUUUGUUGUAACACUGUGGGGGAAAUUAGCAUCUGGGGCAAAUCAUCAUAAAGCUCACCAUGUUAAAACUGGGACCUGUGAAGUGGUGGCGCUUCACAGAUGCUGCAAUAAGAAUAAGAUAGAAGAAAGAUCACAGACAGUGAAGUGUUCCUGCUUCCCUGGGCAGGUAGCAGGUACCACCCGGGCAGCUCCUUCUUGUGUUGAUGCUUCGAUAGUGGAGCAGAAAUGGUGGUGCCACAUGCAACCAUGUCUUGAAGGGGAGGAAUGUAAAGUUCUUCCAGAUCGUAAGGGAUGGAGCUGUUCCUCUGGGAAUAAAGUGAAAACAACUAGGGCAAACGUGUAAAACUCCUCAAGUCCGAAUGGAGAAGUAGAGAAAGGAGGUUUCUGCUGUGCCUGAUGACAAUUUUUGUUUUUUCCACACUCAAAAAAUAUUCUGGCUCCACGAUGGAGCACUAGUUGUGAUGAGUCCUAGUCUUGGUCGGAUUCUAAGGAAGGGCCAGAACGUUCGUUGAGGAAUAAAGAGUCAAACCACUCCAGAAAAUGUGUUCCAGCCCCGGUUUAUUGCUCACAGAGCAGCAGGUAACCCGAUAGCUAAAGACAAAUCAAGCCAGUCUCAAGGCUGAUAACUUUAAAUACAACACAUAGGAAUUUCAUUCAUCCAGGCAAUCCUUGAAGUGAAAUUUUAUACUGCUGGGGUGUAUCCUUCAGAAUCAAUUGUUUCAAUGAGAACCUGGCUUGCAAUCAGCAAGAGCCUUGAGAUCAAAACUACUGGAAAGUUAUUUUGAACUUCUGUGUCACAAAUAUUUCAACUGAUUGAACUGUGUACACUUGUAGAAUUACACUUGCUGAGGAAUUUGCAGCUGUAAUCAUGAGCUAAUAUACUAAAGGUGCAGAAAAGCAACAAACUUUUGGGUUCUCCGUUGCAGAACAGUGGCUUUUCAUCUUGAAGUCAAACUCUGAAAUGUAUUGGAUCCUUCACUCUGAAAUGAUCCUUGGUCCACUGUUCAGAUUGCUGGUGGGACUGCACACGGCUUUAAUUAAAUUUCUGUUGCAGAAAUUGUCCUCAAGCAUGGCGCAGUUUUAGACAUUUUAUUUGUGUUCUAAUCUUGCAGCUCUCAAAGGUACAUAUUUCAACAUCUUGAAGUUGCUUUGUUAUAGGAAUGGAAUUAUAUAUCCAUUGUUAAUAAUUAUUGUUGACAAGUAAUAGUUAUCUGAAUACAUCAGUCAUAUUAGAAUGUAUAGUCAGGUUGACAUGUUUCCCUAAGGCUAACCAACUACUGCAGCUUAACAGUUAAAGAAAGUAGUGGUCAAAACUCAAUUACCACUUCCAUCAUAAGGCAUUUUAUAUAUUUAAUAUAUGCAUUUCGAUUUAGUUUGAAGGAAAUGGGUGUUCCCAAUAUGUACUUUACUUUCCUAACCUUUAAUUCAUUUAAAUUGAUGGUACGAAGUCAAUUACACUAUUUCAUCCAUUUUUUACAAAGAUAGGCAGGGAUGUAAAUGAGUUUUGCAGUUAUGAUAUUGGAUGGGAAGUAUUCAGAAUUUUUGUCUUUUUAUUAAAAAAUAAAAUCUCUUGCUUGAACCUAAAUACUGAUGGAUGCUUAUGUAGAUGUCUGCUCAGUCUGUUUGCCAUAAAGGAAAAAAGUCCUAGUGCUCUCCCAGUUUUACACUUCAUGGGUAUUUUGCUUGCAUACAGUCAUCCAAUUCAGAUCUGUUUUGUUAGAAAAUAUUGAACUUUGAAAUGUGUUGUUACAUGAAAAAAAAUCCUCAAUAUUUGAAGGCCUUAAGCAUCUUUGAGCUUUUUUCUAAGUUAUUACAGAAUGUAUAAUUUUAUACUCCAUUUAAUGUAUAUUGGACCAUCUGUAAUGUUGAUACAAAAGAAGUUUGGCAAUUCCUUUUAGUGACACUGCAUAAAUACAAUGACUAGAGGGAGUUCUGACUGUAUGCUUUGGUGAAUUGAAAUGAAAGCCACACACACCUAAUGGUAGUCAAAAAUACAUAGAAGUAAGCUUGUUUAAGUCUGUGGUUAUCAAACACAGCAAAACCCCCAAAAAUAGAAAAAAAACCAAAUAAAAAGAAAAAAAAAAGAAGAAAAGGAAUAGAAAGAAAUGGCUUAAUCAUUACAAGCCAUUGACAUGGGUAGUUUAGUUAUAUAUUAAGUUCUGUGAUGGAUGAACACCCUGGUGAGCUCUGCCUGUCGCUGUAGCCCCUGCUGUUCCAAAACCAUUUCAUUACCUCUGCUGUAUUAUUGCACAGGAGAGCUUAAAUAAAAUAAAUGACUGUUGGGAAUAAAACUGAGAAGUAUAUUCUAUCAUUUUGCUCAGAAAUAAUAAGAAAUAUGUUGACAGAAAAAGAUCUUAUUUUCUGAUUAAAAUUUAAUUAGAAUAAACCGGUUGUAGCAGAAACUAAGUCUCUUGGUAUUUUAGGAUGGAUUAGUAUUAUAUGGAUUUGUGCUAAGAGGUUCAGGAUGGAAGGAACAUCUUAAAGAGGUUUUCUGGGACAGUGCAAAGUGUAAAUGUGCUGUUUUGUAAAAUCUAAAUAUGACCUCUGUUUGGUCGAAAAUCUACAUCAUGCUUCUCAAUACUUGUUUUCUUUGUUUCCUUUUUCUUAAACAGCGCUGAAAAUACUGUAUUAUAUACAAGUGUAACACAUGCAUACCAAUAAAUGAAAAUAAAUGGAUUUUCAAAUAUACUGAAUAGAUUCUCUGCAGUAGAUUAAUGUUGUGACUAUUCAUAGCAAGUGAAUAAAAUUGUAAUAUAAAAUAGAGUUCCCUGUAUGGAUGUGUGCAUUGGAGGUCUGUUUACUCAUGGAACAAAAUAAUUUUUUGGUGAAUAAGAAUCUCAAAGGUUUUAUUAACUUUAUAUUUCCUACCACUUUGAAAUGUCUUUUUUUGAAAGGAACUGAUACCUAUGGGAAAUUCUGGUGGGUGUACUGUUGUUUUCAGUUCAGAUUGAAUAAAUUUUUUCUCUUCACAAAAUAUGAAUCCUGAAAAAUUGUCAUUUAGAUGUUUUAAGUAGCAACAAGACAUGGUAGACAAUCCUGAAAAAGUAAUAUUUCAGGUUAAUAUGUAGAACUGUUUAAAAGGAAAGGAAAAAGAAAGCCAGAUUCUCAGAUCUGCUUGUGCACCUUGAAGCAAGCUGGGAGCCCCAGUUCAGGUGUCCAUAGUGCAGGUUUAAGCUCCUUCAAAAAUGGAGUGACAGGAUCAGCUAUGUCCAUUCAUGUAAGAAUAUUAAUUGCUUCAAUUAAUAAUUUAUUCAUUUAUAUAAUAUUUUCUAGAUUGUUUCAUCUGAUUGCAAAAAUGAUCAGGCAUUAGGAUCAGAUCCAUGUUACUCUUUGAAUUAAGUAAUCAUCAAGAAUCCUGAACUGCAGAAUAUGAAGUUCUGCGGUUCCAAGUGGCAGUGCAUUGAGAGAGGAAGAAAAAUCACAGCUUUGUGAUACCUCUCACAGUUAGAUGUAUUGGAUCAGUUCAGCAAAGCACAAAAGGAAGUCCUGAUAUGAAUCUUAAUGAAAAAAGAUUCAAAUCUAAAAUAAAGCUUGAAAAGCAUUCAAGUCUAGAUCUUGGUUGUAUGUGGCUUAUUGGUCAUAAAAAAUGUUAACCUUUUGAAACAGCACUGCUGCAGGUAACACUGUUACUACCUAUAAAUACACCUAUUGUGCUAUAUAUUUUCAAUUCCUGUAUUCAUCCUGUAUCUUUAAGAUCUUGACUACUUCAGCUCUGCCUAAAAAUGUUUCUGGUCUAGCAUUUCAGUACUUCACCAAAAAAAUGCAGUUCUAUUUUGUUAAGAGUCUAUAUGCUUUAGGAGUGCAUCAGAUGCAUUUAUUUUGAAAAUAAAUAAUCUGAUAUGAAGUAUUUUAAUUUGUUAGUUUUUAUAAAAAUAUAUGCAAGGAUUUUUUUGCUCAUUAUAAUUGUACAGCUGGCUUUUAUAAUUUCUAGGUAAUGCAUGAAAAUCUGUAACAACACAACAGAAAUAUGUGAUUGGCAUCCUUUUCUGUUGAUUUACUGCCUCCUCCUUCAUGCCUCAAAUUUUACACAUCUGUUAACCAAUCUAUUGGCAAAGAAAAGGAGCACAGUUUUGAUUUACAAAGAACUGUUGCCCUAAUUUCUAGGUUUUUUUUGCCAAAAGUUGUAUAACUCUGAAUCAAACCUGUCACACCUGAAUAAUCUGAUGCCAUUAAAUGAUUUCUUGUGAAUUCAGUGGUCUUAAAUUGUAAAAUAAGAAUUUCCUAAUCACUUUGUCUUUAUAACAAAGUUUGUAUCCUGAAAAACAUUUUUGUUUAUUUUUUCACAGAAUGAGUGAAUGUUUCCAGAUUACAUCUUUGGUCUUGUUUCUGUAAGAGCUUAUUUAACUUUUGGACACUACUUCACAGACAGUCAUUGCAAAUAUUUUAGCAAAAGUAUGGCUGGGUUUUUUGUACAUUCUGUAUUCAUUCUGUACUACAGAAGAGGUAGUACAUGAAAAGGUUGAAUUUCCCACAGCUUUGCUAACAGUUGAGAUUACAAGUGUUGUCAAUGUCUUGUUAUCCAAAACUAAUUUAAGACCAUCUGGCAGGAGGGCCACUGAUGGUGAGACUGGAAACUCUUGUGUAAGGGAGUGACAGUUCUUUAUCAGACUGCUGUGAGUAGGAUGCUGGGAGAGUCAAACAACUGAAGCAUGGUUUCAUCACCAGAGAUGUAGGGUCUGGGGAAGUGGAUCCAGCCUGUGAGCACAGGGGUACAGUCAGCAUCCUGAACCUGUGGCUGUGGGGGUGACAGUAGGACCUUAGACCUGUUCUCUGGGUUGUAGGAAAGGUUUGACUCCUGCCUCCGGGAUUUUCUGCACAGUCAGAUGACAGAAAUGACAGGGCACCUGGGUAAUUUCAGUGUGGUUUGUAUAAGGCCGUCAGAUGCAGAUGAUUGUUUAGCAUUUUGUUUAGAAAAUUCUGAUCAAGCAAAUUCAUUAAAGUUCACAUAUUCAUUAAAUUCCACAUCUCUCUCUCCAUUCAGGUCAAGGGUUAAAGGAACUACCCUCUAUUUUCACUCUUUCCUUGCAAGUAUACAGGUAGCAACUGGAAGUGAAAUCCAGUUAUUCCUCGAUAAUAGAUUCUCUUGAUUAAAUGUCCCUAAUCACAUCAAUAUUAGCUAUGACUGAAAGACUUGAAAUAUAUCUGGAUUUCAGUUCUGAAAACCAGUUUAUUGCCCAACUAAAUGAAAUAGUUUGUGUAAUAGAAAUAUUAUUGCAUAUAUGUAAACCCUAACAGUAAAACUUCUAUAUCAGCUCUUCAAAUUAUAUUUAUGUUCGUAACUGUGAAAUGUAAAGUUUGGUUUACAUCCUUUAUAACAUCAGGGAAAUUCUUUUUUUCUGCUAAAACACUGGGGUAACCCAAGGACACUGCAGUUUGGGAGUUAUGCCUUUCACUGCUUCAACUGUGCAGCUGGGAAAAAACCACGUAGAAAUACUUUUGUUAUUCACAUUGCCAAAACAUUUUUCUUGAGUGUGAGGAAUAUGUAAAGUUGCAAGUUUACUCCAUAUAAGCAUAGUGGUUGAAUCUCUUUAACCCUUUUCUUCUCACUGCCAUAACAAACAUUACAGAAACUGUGCUUGAAAACUGUACUGCAGCCUUAUGUCUUAGUAUUUAAAUCAGAACUUGUAAAAUGCACACUGCUUUAGUUACUAUUUCUCCAUAUACAGUAGUUUUUUUAUAGUCUUUUUCCUCCUUGUGAUUAAUUUUGAUGCCUUGUCAUAUUUGGGCACAGAGAAUACAAUCCCUACUAUUACUGAUUGAGGGUUUGUGCAUCUUUGUGUUACUUUUAUUUUUCGUUGGUAAUUUUCUCAUGUCCUGCAAUCCAGUCAGUUCUUUCAAAACUCUGGUAAGGAUUAGAAAAGUUUUUUUAAUAAAUAGUGGCCUGGAACUGAAGACAGGAGAGAAGAGAGAAAGGUGAUGUGUUUCUAUAAUUUUAUCUUAGCUUCCAGUUUGAACUACUCUUUCUAAAGAGAAGCACUUUUUUCUAACUAUAAAUGGACUGUGUUUCAAUAUGCUCCCUGAUCAUAAAGCUGAUGAAAUGGUCCUCUCUGUAUGUCAGAUUACCUCAGCAGAAUUUACAAAUGGAAGAUGAUGAUUUUGCUAAUGUCCAUGGGCAGGUAGACAUAAUUUGGUCCCAGAUGCUCUGCGGAAUAUUCAUGGCAAAAGUGACUCAAAAACAAUGCCUCCAUAUGCCAUAAUUGCUGGAAUUAUUUCUCAGGCAUAUUCCCUUGUCAUCCCUCAUAUGUAGAACUCAUUAGAUUCCUAGUGGGAGAACAUAUGGAGAAGAGAGUUGAUGGAAAACAUUAUAAAACAGAUUGUGUAUUUAAAUUUAUAUUAUAAAAGACCUCUGUGCACAGGCAAACUUAGCAGAGAAAGUUCAAACUCUUUCUUUCCACUUCAUAAGGAAAUUGACAUUUAUGGAGCUGUUAGUACAUUCAAAUCCACUUCUAGAUGGUGGAUUAAAACCUGGCUUUACAGCUAACAGUGGUAAUUUUGCUGCUAAUUUGAAGCCAACUCUGUAUUUCCUACAUUUUAGCAAAUAUUUACUUAAACUACAAUUAAGAUCUUUUUACUAAUUGGAAUGACCAGAAGUUCCACCCAUACAAAUCUGUUGGCAGGAUCAGGCCUUUGGCUAUGGGUUGUGAUUUCAGUGUCAACAUAAUAUCUUUGAUGAAUAACGUGUUUCUAGUUCUCAAAAGAGUUUUAAUAUUUCUUUCAUCCAUCUCAGCUGACUAAUGGAUGAGGAUUGUAUCCAGUGCAGAGAUGUUUUAAUGACUACUAUUAGAUAAUUAUUUAUCCUCUACAGCAGUUAAAUACCCCAAAAAUAAGUUAAUCAUACAUUUAUUCAAAGUAUUAUACACAGAUGUUUGUGAUGCCUUUUUUUCAUUACACUUAGGACUCUUUAUUGGUUUAAGGUAAUUUAUUUUCUGUUAUUUUUUACUCAAGACUGACCAUGAAACAGAUUUCAAUAGGGAGCACUUGGGGUGCCAUAAAGUGUCCCUCCCUGUAGUCGAGGUGGGCACUAGCAGGAGCUCCCUGUCAGCCAGGUGUGGGGGAACAGACUGAUGUCUGUGACCUUGCUGCCAUGGCUGGUAAAAUACGGCCUAUCACCAGGAGAAGGUGUAGAAAGUGCUUCCAGAGAAACACAUCUGCCCAGCUCAUAAAGGAACAGUUCUGACAGGGUGUCUCUCAGUACAUGGAGCUGAAUCAAAUGUUAUACCCAAAUCAAUAGAGAAGGACACAGGGAAACUGUAGGGCAUCUCUGGCUCUAUAGUGUGGCUCUGUAGACCUUAAAAAUGUUUGAUAUGACCACAGGAUGUCCAUUUAGGUCACUGCCUUUUUAAAAGAAGAUGGAACAUAGCUCUUUAAAUAGUAUCUGCAGUAGAGUUGUGUGUGUAUUUGCUGGCCAAUAUGCCUUCCUGAAGCCAAGAUUUGUCAUGUUAUGAGAGACAGAAGUUCAGAUCCACACCUCCUCCUUUGCUGCUGGAAAUGGACUGUGUUAUUAUACUGUUCUUCUAAACCAGAGUCACACAGUACACUAUUGGCAAGUGCUCUGAACCCUUCAGAGCAAAAUAGUUACUCUGACAAGCCUCAGCAGGAAGCAAAAUGUGCAUUACCACAAAUGCUUUGUCUUAAUACUGACAACCUUGAUUGUUCUCUAUGUGUGGAUUAUUUCCUGACAGCUGCAGGAAAAAUGUUUGUUAUUAGGUGAAAAUGUAAAAUUUUUAGUUUGCACCAGUCUGAACAUCACACUUAAAAGAUAUAUUUUGCAAUUUCGUAUAUAUUUAUCAUAUUAUGAUAAAUUAAUUUGUGCUAUAUAUGUAUUAGUCUCUCUGUCAGCUGCUGGUGGCACCUUUUAAAAUAGUGUCAUCUAUUACUGACUUUUUUAAUCACUGCAGAAAAAUGGUCAUUGGGUGGUGGUAAAGUCUUUCAUCAGCAUUUUGUGGUUUUUCCAUUCUCUCAGUAUGUGCAUGAGAAACUGGAUGAUGAAGUAGUGAAAGAGCCUUGAAGACGUACUGAUUUAAUUAAUUUCAGGCAAAUAGACCUUGAUUAGUGAAGAAAGUUAUAGCUCCUCUGUGUAAGAUUGUGUUCCAUCAUUCAGAAUAUCCAGCCCUCUGCUUUGAUUCAAAUUUGAUUAUAAGAAAUUGGGGCAGUAGUAAUAUCAAUAUAAAAGAUUAAUAGCAACUUGAAAGAUGAAUCCUUAAGCAUUGAUGUAUGUGAUCAAGUAUCCAGCACAUUUUAAAUCCUGGGCUUUACCUAAUGCUCCUAAUGGCUAAGGUAAAUAGCAAGUAUGUUCCACAUUUUUAUGUCCUUGGAAGGAAAUACAGACAUAGCAGAAGACUGGCAGCAGAAGUGCUCACUGUACUUCAGUUAAUGAUGUUUUUAUUGCUCAAGUCCAUAUAGCUUGGAUCUUACCUCACCUUUUGUUAAAGCAUGUAACAUAAGGACCUUAAACCAAUCGAUUUCUGCAAUUAGCAGUUCUGAAAGGAAGCACAAAAACAAGUUCAAGGCUGUUUAUGCCUGGGUUAACUCCACUGUCUUUAGUGAAGUUUUUCUCCAGUUAAAUCUAAUCUUAACUUUCUAGAUAAAUUGUUCCAAAAACUAAGCUGCAGUUAAUUUGAAGAUCUACAUUUAAGGGCAUGUGAAACUCCAAGGGCUUGGGUAAGAAUAAAAUAAAGAUAACAGAAAAUUUAGGUUUCUUUUACUGUUUCACCAGAUAUCACAUUUUUAUAUAAUGGUGGGAAUUAUGGUUCUGGUCCCACCUCCAACAGAGAAAUAUGUGAAAUUCAGUCCUGGUCUUAUUCCUUCCAUUAAAUACAUACCAAAUGCUGUUUAUGAAUGUCAUUUGGCACAAAAUUUUUUUCUCAAAACCCCAGUGUGAGGUCUCUGUUCCAUGCCUGUGCAUCUUGCAUCCUGAAAGUAGAGCUUUCUGGGAACUUUGCUGAUGACUAAAUCUUCUUAUGGACUUCUGCUGAGGUUUGCAUUUCUUACUGACUAUCUAUGUGAGCUGUUCUAAAAAUUGUGUCGUUGGUUCAUACUCCUGCAUCUCCUCACUUUUUUGUUGAUCAAUAUAGUAAUAAAUGCUUUAUAAAUAGUC